UAUUGCACAAUGGGCGCAAGCCUGAUGCAGCCAUGCCGCGUGUAUGAAGAAGGCCGUUCGGGUUGUAAAGUACUUUCAGCAGUGAGGAAGGUGGGUAUGUUAAUAGCAUAUUCAUUUGACGUUAGCUGCAGAAGAAGCACCGGCUAACUCCGUGCCAGCAGCCGCGGUAAUACGGAGGGUGCGAGCGUUAAUCGGAAUUACUGGGCGUAAAGCGCAUGCAGGUGGUUUGUUAAGUCAGAUGUGAAAGCCCGGGGCUCAACCUCGGAAUUGCAUUUGAAACUGGCAAACUAGAGUACUGUAGAGGGGGUAGAAUUUCAGGUGUAGCGGUGAAAUGCGUAGAGAUCUGAAGGAAUACCGGUGGCGAAGGCGGCCCCCUGGACAGAUACUGACACUCAGAUGCGAAAGCGUGGGGAGCAAACAGGAUUACAUACCCUGGUAG
This 439-nucleotide ribosomal RNA is filed under the name uncultured bacterium. RNAcentral describes it as "bacterial SSU rRNA". It matches the Rfam family "Bacterial small subunit ribosomal RNA", at positions 362 to 793 of the family's 1533-position model. The record is from RNAcentral.